AAGGCAUCAAUGAUGAAUAAUCCAAUUCGUUAUUCUUGCACUUUGAUUGUUAAAUGAAGAUAAUAAUGGGGAAACAUUAUCUGAGAUGCUU
Molecule: non-coding RNA, 91 nt
Organism: Capsicum annuum
Lineage: Eukaryota; Viridiplantae; Streptophyta; Magnoliopsida; Solanales; Solanaceae
Source: Rfam